This 714-nucleotide long non-coding RNA is filed under the name Homo sapiens (human). Its description in RNAcentral is "HSALNT0354315". Lineage: Eukaryota; Metazoa; Chordata; Mammalia; Primates; Hominidae. The record is from RNAcentral.
UCAGACAACAAGUAGCAAAAGAAACACUGACCACUCACAGGCUGGGAAAGUUUACACAGGUCUCUGUGUUCAACCAUCUGCCUCCGCAAUGAUCUCUACAACAAUCGGUGCAGCUUGUGGUGGUCAGUUGCCUGUUUUUCCUCGCUGUGAACGCUUUUAAUUAAAAGGAAGGGAUUCAGAACCUGCGGAUGUGGAGGGCCAGAGGGCUGAAUUUGCAAGUUGGGCAAUGGGGAAAGCCUUCACAAAGGAGAAAGCCUUUGGGCUGGAAUUGGAGGAGUAGGAGUCAAUAGAGAGAGAAGAGAGUAAAGGGCAAGGCCAUCAUUCCAGGUUUAGGGAGCAAGUACAAAGACACAGAGAAAUGAAAAGGCUUGGCCUGUUUGGAGAAUGUCAAGCUGUCUGGGGUUGAGAGAAAGACAUUCUAACAAGGCUUCCAUUAAAGAGGCUAGAUUUGCUGCUUGGACAUUUUCUAGCUCUUCUGAGACAACUUUUUGUUGAGUUAAGCGAAAAUGAAUGAAAAUCAGAUGGACCAUAUUUCUCUUGAAUGCACACGGGCUUAAAAACGAAGGGGAAAAAGAACUUGACAGAAUGUGUCUUGGCUUUUGCCAAACCCAAAGUAUUUGAAAAAUCACACAGUACACAUCUCGAACCCAAAAACAUGCCUGGAUUCUACCACCCCUAACUGCAGCUGCAGCCAUUUAAUAAAAUGAAUUGUGU